CUCACUAGUCGAGUGACACUGCGCCGAAAAUGUACCGGGGCUAAACAUAUUACCGAAGCUGUGGAUUGUCCUUUGGACAAUGGUAGGAGAGCGUUCUAAGGGCGUUGAAGCAUGAUCGUAAGGACAUGUGGAGCGCUUAGAAGUGAGAAUGCCGGUGUGAGUAGCGAAAGACGGGUGAGAAUCCCGUCCACCGAUUGACUAAGGUUUCCAGAGGAAGGCUCGUCCGCUCUGGGUUAGUCGGGUCCUAAGCUGAGGCCGACAGGCGUAGGCGAUGGAUAACAGGUUGAUAUUCCUGUACCACCUAUAAUCGUUUUAAUCGAUGGGGGGACGCAGUAGGAUAGGCGAAGCGUGCGAUUGGAUUGCACGUCUAAGCAGUAAGGCUGAGUAUUAGGCAAAUCCGGUACUCGUUAAGGCUGAGCUGUGAUGGGGAGAAGACAUUGUGUCUUCGAGUCGUUGAUUUCACACUGCCGAGAAAAGCCUCUAGAUAGAAAAUAGGUGCCCGUACCGCAAACCGACACAGGUAGUCAAGAUGAGAAUUCUAAGGUGAGCGAGCGAACUCUCGUUAAGGAACUCGGCAAAAUGACCCCGUAACUUCGGGAGAAGGGGUGCUCUUUAGGGUUAACGCCCAGAAGAGCCGCAGUGAAUAGGCCC
RNAcentral lists this ribosomal RNA (651 nucleotides) under Staphylococcus aureus. RNAcentral describes it as "bacterial LSU rRNA". It matches the Rfam family "Bacterial large subunit ribosomal RNA", at positions 1141 to 1793 of the family's 2925-position model. Lineage: Bacteria; Bacillati; Bacillota; Bacilli; Caryophanales; Staphylococcaceae. The record is from RNAcentral.